RNAcentral lists this ribosomal RNA (479 nucleotides) under uncultured Thiomonas sp. Its description in RNAcentral is "bacterial SSU rRNA". It matches the Rfam family "Bacterial small subunit ribosomal RNA", at positions 47 to 524 of the family's 1533-position model. Lineage: Bacteria; Pseudomonadati; Pseudomonadota; Betaproteobacteria; Burkholderiales. The record is from RNAcentral.
CUUUACCAUGCAGUCGAACGGCAGCGCGGGGCAACCUGGCGGCGAGUGGCGAACGGGUGAGUAAUACAUCGGAACGUGCCCUGUGAUGGGGGAUAACUACGCGAAAGCGUAGCUAAUACCGCAUACGACCUAAGGGUGAAAGUGGGGGAUCGAAAGACCUCACGUCAUAGGAGCGGCCGAUGGCGGAUUAGCUAGUUGGUGAGGUAAAGGCUUACCAAGGCGACGAUCCGUAGCUGGUCUGAGAGGACGACCAGCCACACUGGGACUGAGACACGGCCCAGACUCCUACGGGAGGCAGCAGUGGGGAAUCUUGGACAAUGGGGGCAACCCUGAUCCAGCAAUGCCGCGUGUGGGAUGAAGGCCUUCGGGUUGUAAACCACUUUUGGCGGGGGCGAAAUAUCGAAUGAUAAUACCAUUCGGUGAUGACGGUACCCGCAGAAUAAGCACCGGCUAACUACGUGCCAGCAGCCCGGGGUAAU